UNUUUAAGGGUUUUAAUGUCAGGAUUGACUA
RNAcentral lists this non-coding RNA (31 nucleotides) under Mus musculus (house mouse). The record is from RNAcentral. Lineage: Eukaryota; Metazoa; Chordata; Mammalia; Rodentia; Muridae.